CUGAUCAGCUCGCUCUGCAGACCUCGACCCAUUCUAUCAUUAGUUACGUCGAUUAACGUUAUUGAAACUCUUUGUCAAUGUGACGAUCAAACUUGCCAAGAAACACGUGCAAGCUGUUCGAACAAAUUUGACAAUUUAUAAUGCGACGCAUUCACGCUUCUACUGAAAUUGGACUUGGUCAUUUCUAGCAAUUUCUCUGAGGGUAAACAACUAUUACGACACAAAACAAGCUGUUAAUUCAAAACAGGAUCAUAUCGGGCAUGUGUUUACAUGAACUUUCCUCAUUGUCAUUGUCAUUGUC
Molecule: unclassified non-coding RNA, 301 nt
Filed under: Bombus terrestris (buff-tailed bumblebee)
Lineage: Eukaryota; Metazoa; Arthropoda; Insecta; Hymenoptera; Apidae
Description: misc RNA ENSBTSG00005029308.1
Source: RNAcentral